GACGAACGCUGGCGGCGUGCCUAAUACAUGCAAGUAGAACGCUGAAGGAGGAGCUUGCUUCUCUGGAUGAGUUGCGAACGGGUGAGUAACGCGUAGGUAACCUGCCUGGUAGCGGGGGAUAACUAUUGGAAACGAUAGCUAAUACCGCAUAACAGUAGAUGUUGCAUGACAUUUGCUUAAAAGGUGCAAUUGCAUCACUACCAGAUGGACCUGCGUUGUAUUAGCUAGUUGGUGGGGUAACGGCUCACCAAGGCGACGAUACAUAGCCGACCUGAGAGGGUGAUCGGCCACACUGGGACUGAGACACGGCCCAGACUCCUACGGGAGGCAGCAGUAGGGAAUCUUCGGCAAUGGACGAAAGUCUGACCGAGCAACGCCGCGUGAGUGAAGAAGGUUUUCGGAUCGUAAAGCUCUGUUGUAAGAGGAGAACGAGUGUGAGAGUGGAAAGUUCACACUG
RNAcentral lists this ribosomal RNA (457 nucleotides) under Streptococcus mitis. RNAcentral describes it as "bacterial SSU rRNA". It matches the Rfam family "Bacterial small subunit ribosomal RNA", at positions 28 to 471 of the family's 1533-position model. The record is from RNAcentral. Lineage: Bacteria; Bacillati; Bacillota; Bacilli; Lactobacillales; Streptococcaceae.